RNAcentral lists this ribosomal RNA (528 nucleotides) under uncultured Alphaproteobacteria bacterium. Its description in RNAcentral is "partial 16S ribosomal RNA". The record is from RNAcentral. Lineage: Bacteria; Pseudomonadati; Pseudomonadota; Alphaproteobacteria.
CGACCUGCAGGCGGCCGCGAAUUCACUAGUGAUUCGUAUUACCGCGGCUGCUGGCACGGAGUUAGCCGGAGCUUAUUCUCCCGAUACUGUCAUUAUCAUCUCGGGUAAAAGAGCUUUACAACCCUAAGGCCUUCAUCACUCACGCGGCAUUGCUGGAUCAGGCUUUCGCCCAUUGUCCAAUAUUCCCUACUGCUGCCUCCCGUAGGAGUCUGGGCCGUGUCUCAGUCCCAGUGUGGCUGAUCAUCCUCUCAGACCAGCUAAGGAUCGUCGGCUUGGUAGGCCUUUACCCCACCAACUACCUAAUCCUACGCGGGCUCAUCCCUGGCCGAUAAAUCUUUGGUCCGAAGACAUCAUCCGGUAUUAGCAGUCAUUUCUAACUGUUAUUCCGAAGCCAAGGGCAGAUUCCCACGCGUUACGCACCCGUGCGCCACUAACCCCGAAGGGUUCGUUCGACUUGCAUGUGUUAGGCAUGCCCCCAGCGUUCGUUCUGAGCCAGGAUCAAACUCUAAUCGAAUUCCCGCGGCCGCC